Molecule: ribosomal RNA, 1492 nt
Filed under: Lacticaseibacillus paracasei
Lineage: Bacteria; Bacillati; Bacillota; Bacilli; Lactobacillales; Lactobacillaceae
Description: bacterial SSU rRNA
Rfam family: Bacterial small subunit ribosomal RNA
Source: RNAcentral
GAUGAACGCUGGCGGCGUGCCUAAUACAUGCAAGUCGAACGAGUUCUCGUUGAUGAUCGGUGCUUGCACCGAGAUUCAACAUGGAACGAGUGGCGGACGGGUGAGUAACACGUGGGUAACCUGCCCUUAAGUGGGGGAUAACAUUUGGAAACAGAUGCUAAUACCGCAUAGAUCCAAGAACCGCAUGGUUCUUGGCUGAAAGAUGGCGUAAGCUAUCGCUUUUGGAUGGACCCGCGGCGUAUUAGCUAGUUGGUGAGGUAAUGGCUCACCAAGGCGAUGAUACGUAGCCGAACUGAGAGGUUGAUCGGCCACAUUGGGACUGAGACACGGCCCAAACUCCUACGGGAGGCAGCAGUAGGGAAUCUUCCACAAUGGACGCAAGUCUGAUGGAGCAACGCCGCGUGAGUGAAGAAGGCUUUCGGGUCGUAAAACUCUGUUGUUGGAGAAGAAUGGUCGGCAGAGUAACUGUUGUCGGCGUGACGGUAUCCAACCAGAAAGCCACGGCUAACUACGUGCCAGCAGCCGCGGUAAUACGUAGGUGGCAAGCGUUAUCCGGAUUUAUUGGGCGUAAAGCGAGCGCAGGCGGUUUUUUAAGUCUGAUGUGAAAGCCCUCGGCUUAACCGAGGAAGCGCAUCGGAAACUGGGAAACUUGAGUGCAGAAGAGGACAGUGGAACUCCAUGUGUAGCGGUGAAAUGCGUAGAUAUAUGGAAGAACACCAGUGGCGAAGGCGGCUGUCUGGUCUGUAACUGACGCUGAGGCUCGAAAGCAUGGGUAGCGAACAGGAUUAGAUACCCUGGUAGUCCAUGCCGUAAACGAUGAAUGCUAGGUGUUGGAGGGUUUCCGUCCUUCAGUGCCGCAGCUAACGCAUUAAGCAUUCCGCCUGGGGAGUACGACCGCAAGGUUGAAACUCAAAGGAAUUGACGGGGGCCCGCACAAGCGGUGGAGCAUGUGGUUUAAUUCGAAGCAACGCGAAGAACCUUACCAGGUCUUGACAUCUUUUGAUCACCUGAGAGAUCAGGUUUCCCCUUCGGGGGCAAAAUGACAGGUGGUGCAUGGUUGUCGUCAGCUCGUGUCGUGAGAUGUUGGGUUAAGUCCCGCAACGAGCGCAACCCUUAUGACUAGUUGCCAGCAUUUAGUUGGGCACUCUAGUAAGACUGCCGGUGACAAACCGGAGGAAGGUGGGGAUGACGUCAAAUCAUCAUGCCCCUUAUGACCUGGGCUACACACGUGCUACAAUGGAUGGUACAACGAGUUGCGAGACCGCGAGGUCAAGCUAAUCUCUUAAAGCCAUUCUCAGUUCGGACUGUAGGCUGCAACUCGCCUACACGAAGUCGGAAUCGCUAGUAAUCGCGGAUCAGCACGCCGCGGUGAAUACGUUCCCGGGCCUUGUACACACCGCCCGUCACACCAUGAGAGUUUGUAACACCCGAAGCCGGUGGCGUAACCCUUUUAGGGAGCGAGCCGUCUAAGGUGGGACAAAUGAUUAGGGUG